GAGGGGGGAAUGUAGCUGUUUGAAACAAAUGUGUAUAAAUAAAUGAAUUGUUGACCUGGAGAUUGGUAGCUUGUUCAAGAAAGUCCA
Non-coding RNA from Myotis davidii, 87 nucleotides. Lineage: Eukaryota; Metazoa; Chordata; Mammalia; Chiroptera; Vespertilionidae. The record is from Rfam.